This 778-nucleotide ribosomal RNA is filed under the name Microbacterium sp. 22AD21. Its description in RNAcentral is "bacterial SSU rRNA". It matches the Rfam family "Bacterial small subunit ribosomal RNA", at positions 167 to 957 of the family's 1533-position model. The record is from RNAcentral. Lineage: Bacteria; Bacillati; Actinomycetota; Actinomycetes; Micrococcales; Microbacteriaceae.
UACUGGAUAUGAGCCCCUAUCGCAUGGUGGGGGUUGGAAAGAUUUCUUGGUCUGGGAUGGGCUCGCGGCCUAUCAGCUUGUUGGUGAGGUAAUGGCUCACCAAGGCGUCGACGGGUAGCCGGCCUGAGAGGGUGACCGGCCACACUGGGACUGAGACACGGCCCAGACUCCUACGGGAGGCAGCAGUGGGGAAUAUUGCACAAUGGGCGAAAGCCUGAUGCAGCAACGCCGCGUGAGGGAUGACGGCCUUCGGGUUGUAAACCUCUUUUAGCAGGGAAGAAGCGAAAGUGACGGUACCUGCAGAAAAAGCGCCGGCUAACUACGUGCCAGCAGCCGCGGUAAUACGUAGGGCGCAAGCGUUAUCCGGAAUUAUUGGGCGUAAAGAGCUCGUAGGCGGUUUGUCGCGUCUGCUGUGAAAUCCCGAGGCUCAACCUCGGGCCUGCAGUGGGUACGGGCAGACUAGAGUGCGGUAGGGGAGAUUGGAAUUCCUGGUGUAGCGGUGGAAUGCGCAGAUAUCAGGAGGAACACCGAUGGCGAAGGCAGAUCUCUGGGCCGUAACUGACGCUGAGGAGCGAAAGGGUGGGGAGCAAACAGGCUUAGAUACCCUGGUAGUCCACCCCGUAAACGUUGGGAACUAGUUGUGGGGACCAUUCCACGGUUUCCGUGACGCAGCUAACGCAUUAAGUUCCCCGCCUGGGGAGUACGGCCGCAAGGCUAAAACUCAAAGGAAUUGACGGGGACCCGCACAAGCGGCGGAGCAUGCGGAUUAAUUCGAUGC